This 489-nucleotide ribosomal RNA is filed under the name uncultured bacterium. Its description in RNAcentral is "partial 16S ribosomal RNA". It matches the Rfam family "Bacterial small subunit ribosomal RNA", at positions 28 to 507 of the family's 1533-position model. The record is from RNAcentral.
GACGAACGCUGGCGGCGUGCUUAACACAUGCAAGUCGAACGGAAAGGCCCCCAUCUUGGUGGGGGUGCUCGAGUGGCGAACGGGUGAGUAACACGUAGGUGAUCUGCUCUGUACUCCGGGAUAAGCUUGGGAAACUGGGUCUAAUACCGGAUAGGACCAUGGUUUAGUGUCUCAUGGUGGAAAGAUUAUUGUUUUGGUGCAGGAUGAGCUCGCGGCCUAUCAGCUUGUUGGUGGGGUAAUGGCCUACCAAGGCGUCGACGGGUAGCCGGCCUGGGAGGGUGGACGGCCACAUUGGGACUGAGAUACGGCCCAGACUCCUACGGGAGGCAGCAGUGGGGAAUAUUGCACAAUGGGCGCAAGCCUGAUGCAGCGACGCCGCGUGGGGGAUGACGGCCUUCGGGUUGUAAACUCCUUUCGUUAGGGACGAAGCCGCACUUUUUUUGGGUGUGGUGACGGUACCUUUGUUAAGAAGCACCGGCUAACUACGUG